GCGGGGUGUGUUUACAGGCAGCGUGCGUGGUAUGCACAGCUUGGGCUUUGGAAUCAGAUAAGCCCAGUCUUACGUUCAGUUCUGCCACCCUCCAGCUGUGCAUCCUGGGCAUGUCCCUUAACCUCUCUGAGCACAUCUCCUCAUCUGCAAAAGUGGACCACAAAUGAGGUUACAGGGUCACCUGAGGAUUUGAUGACAUCAUGGACAUCAAGUGCUCAGCACAAUGCCUUCCACAUGCCAAUUUCAAGCUACCAAUAUGAUGACAUUGAACUUGGAGAGGGGAAGUGAUGCACACCAUUGUGUCUGGUGGGAACCACUUGAGUGCGUGCCCUCAUCGGCUGAGCCACCCUAGGUCCUCAGCUGUUCCUGAUUCAAAGAGAACCAGAGAAGAAGCUGGGCAGGACAGCCACCUUCAUCCAAACGUGUGUCCCUCUGGAGGCACAGCAACUGUCUUCCCAAAAGAGAGGAGGCUUUGACUGGGUUGGGUGUCCUUUUCCAUGUGUGUGGCACACUAUGGGGCAGGGUUUGCCUCAGGCCACUUCCAGGCCUGCCCCACUGCACUUGGUGGCCAAGACCCACUGCCCCCUGGACUGCAUGGCUGUGACUAUCCUGGGACCUUUAUUGAAAAACCCUGUUGGAACCCCUUUUGUCAGAGGACCUUCCUGCACACAUUCUUCAGCCUGCCUGUCAGGCCCUAUUGAUUUCAAUAGGGAUGGCACCAGAUUCAAGAGGCUGAAGAAGAGACCCAGGGACAGCACCGAGACCUAGGGCUUCAUUAGACGGAAGCUUACAGGGAUGGACCAGUGGUGGCUGGGUGGACAGGAGAACCUCAACUGCUUGCAAAAAGCAUGUGGUUUAUGUAGCACUUUUCCUUGGCGCCUCCCCCUAACAACCUCCCUCCACCUGGCAACGUUCACAUAACCCAAAACACAGGGUCUCAAUCCCCUGUACGGCCUGCAUUCCAUAGGAUGGGGCCAGGAGCUCAGAUGUUACUCAGAUAAGGAAUGAAACUCUGGGUUGGCCACUCCCACGUUCCUUAGCUCAGAACUCUGAACAUAUAUUCUUCUCAGACCAUGGGGUCAUUCUCAGGGUAUGCUUCAGUUAUGCUGUUUCUCUCAGGGUCAUCUACCACCCACUGCUCCACAACCUUCCAAAACCCCAGGGGUAGCUGUUAUCAUCCUUCUUUUACAGGUGAGGAAACUGAGGCUUAGAAAGAGAUCACUCUUCCAAGGCCACACAGCUAGUCCCAGGUCUCAUGUUAGUUUCACUGAACUAGUGGCACGGAUGACAUAACAGCUGACACUUGGGCAAUUCCCUGGCUGGUGCUGUGCCAAGCAUCUUCUUCCUGAAACCACCACUUAUGGGUUGUGCUGCAAGAGUAAGUUCUCCAACAUCUCUAAGCUACAGUUUCUCCUGGAAAGACUGGAUAAGACGCAGUGCACCAGGGCUUAGCACAAGGCCGGAUACACAUUCUACAGAACACCAUGGAACAAACGUUAUAGAAGAGAUCGACUGCGCUGGUGACUCAUGCCUGUAAUCCCAGCACUUUGGGAGGCCGAG
Molecule: long non-coding RNA, 1560 nt
Filed under: Homo sapiens (human)
Lineage: Eukaryota; Metazoa; Chordata; Mammalia; Primates; Hominidae
Description: HSALNT0068802
Source: RNAcentral